RNAcentral lists this ribosomal RNA (305 nucleotides) under uncultured bacterium. RNAcentral's name for it is "bacterial SSU rRNA". It matches the Rfam family "Bacterial small subunit ribosomal RNA", at positions 335 to 657 of the family's 1533-position model. The record is from RNAcentral.
GUACCUACGGGGGGCAGCAGUGAGGAAUAUUGGUCAAUGGUCGGGAGACUGAACCAGCCAAGCCGCGUGAGUGAGGAAGUAUUUCGGUAUGUAAAGCUCUAUCAGCAGGGAAGAAAAUGACGGUACCUGACUAAGAAGCCCCGGCUAACUACGUGCCAGCAGCCGCGGUAAUACGUAGGGGGCAAGCGUUAUCCGGAUUUACUGGGUGUAAAGGGAGCGUAGACGGAGGAGCAAGUCUGAUGUGAAAAUCCGGGGCCCAACCCCGGAACUGCAUUGGAAACUGUUUAUCUAGAGUGUCGGAGAGG